AUACAGGGUGAGGAACAAAUUGCUCAGGCAGCUUGUGAUUAUUAUCAGCACCAAUUUACUGGACAGAAUGACAGAAUAGAUGAAAGAAUCCUUCAAUAUAUUCCUACAAUUAUUACUCCUGAUCAGAAUGAGAUGCUGCAAGCAAUACCUAAUAUAGAUGAACUCAGACAAGUUGUGUUUGCUAUGAAUCCAUAUUCAGCAGCAGGCCCUGAUGG
This 215-nucleotide long non-coding RNA is filed under the name Solanum tuberosum (potato). Its description in RNAcentral is "long non-coding RNA (STUB_LNC000170)". The record is from RNAcentral. Lineage: Eukaryota; Viridiplantae; Streptophyta; Magnoliopsida; Solanales; Solanaceae.